GAUGAACGCUGGCGGCGUGCUUAACACAUGCAAGUCGAACGGAAAGGCGCUGCUUUUGUGGGGUGCUUGAGUGGCGAACGGGUGAGUAACACGUGAGUAACCUGCCCUUGACUUUGGGAUAACUUUAGGAAAAUGGGGCUAAUACCGGAUAGGAGCUCUUGAUGCGUGGUGGGGGUUGGAGAGUUUCGGCGGUGGGGGAUAGACUAGCGGCUUAUCAGCUUGUUUGUGUAGUAGGUGAGUACCAAGGCUUCGACGGGUAGCCGGCCUUGGAGGGUGAACAGCGACAUUGGGACUGAGGUACGCCCCAGACUGCUACGUGCGGCAGUGGUGGAAAAUAUUGCACAAUGGGCCGGCGUGUGAUACAACGACGCCGCGUGCGGAAUGACGGCUUUCUGGUUAUAAACCGCUUUCUCCUGUGACGAAGCGUUCGUGACGGUAACGGAUAAAGAAGCACCGGCUAACUACGUG
This 468-nucleotide ribosomal RNA is filed under the name uncultured bacterium. RNAcentral's name for it is "partial 16S ribosomal RNA". It matches the Rfam family "Bacterial small subunit ribosomal RNA", at positions 28 to 507 of the family's 1533-position model. The record is from RNAcentral.